Molecule: transfer RNA, 70 nt
Filed under: Oryzias uwai
Lineage: Eukaryota; Metazoa; Chordata; Actinopteri; Beloniformes; Adrianichthyidae
Description: tRNA-Met
Source: RNAcentral
AGUAAAGUCAGCUAAUUUAAACUUUUGGGGUCAUCACCCCAAGUGUUGGGCUAGAAUCCUUCCUUUACUA